UACGGGGGGGGCAAGCGUUGUUCGGAAUUACUGGGCGUAAAGGGCUCGUAGGCGGCCAACUAAGUCAUACGUGAAAUCCCAAAGCUUAACUUUGGAACUGCGUCGGAUACUGGAUGGCUUGAAUUCGGGAGAGGGAUGCAGAAUUCCAGGUGUAGCGGUGAAAUGCGUAGAUAUCUGGAGGAAUACCGGUGGCGAAGGCGGCAUCCUGGACCGACAUUGACGCUGAAAACCGAAAGCUAGGGGAGCAAACGGG
Molecule: ribosomal RNA, 253 nt
Filed under: uncultured bacterium
Lineage: Bacteria
Description: partial 16S ribosomal RNA
Rfam family: Bacterial small subunit ribosomal RNA
Source: RNAcentral